GGGCGUUAAGUUGCAGGGUAUAGACCCGAAACCCGGUGAUCUAGCCAUGGGCAGGUUGAAGGUUGGGUAACACUAACUGGAGGACCGAACCGACUAAUGUUGAAAAAUUAGCGGAUGACCUGUGGCUGGGGGUGAAAGGCCAAUCAAACCGGGAGAUAGCUGGUUCUCCCCGAAAGCUAUUUAGGUAGCGCCUCGUGAAUUCAUCUCCGGGGGUAGAGCACUGUUUCGGCUAGGGGGCCAUCCCGGCUUACCAACCCGAUGCAAACUGCGAAUACCGGAGAAUGUUAUCACGGGAGACACACGGCGGGUGCUAACGUCCGUCGUGAAGAGGGAAACAACCCAGACCGCCAGCUAAGGUCCCAAAGUCAUGGUUAAGUGGGAAACGAUGUGGGAAGGCCCAGACAGCCAGGAUGUUGGCUUAGAAGCAGCCAUCAUUUAAAGAAAGCGUAAUAGCUCACUGGUCGAGUCGGCCUGCGCGGAAGAUGUAACGGGGCUAAACCAUGCACCGAAGCUGCGGCAGCGACGCUGAUGCGUUGUUGGGUAGGGGAGCGUUCUGUAAGCCUGCGAAGGUGGCCUGUGAGGGUUGCUGGAGGUAUCAGAAGUGCGAAUGCUGACAUAAGUAACGAUAAAGCGGGUGAAAAGCCCGCUCGCCGGAAGACCAAGGGUUCCUGUCCAACGUUAAUCGGGGCAGGGUGAGUCGACCCCUAAGGCGAGGCCGAAAGGCGUAGUCGAUGGGAAACGGGUUAAUAUUCCCGUACUUGGUGUUACUGCGAAGGGGGGACGGAGAAGGCUAUGUUGGCCGGGCGACGGUUGUCCCGGUUUAAGCGUGUAGGUGUGUGUUCCAGGUAAAUCCGGUUCACUUUAACACUGAGGCGUGAUGACGAGGCACUACGGUGCUGAAGCAACAAAUGCCCUGCUUCCAGGAAAAGCCUCUAAGCAUCAGGUAACAUCAAAUCGUACCCCAAACCGACACAGGUGGUCAGGUAGAGAAUACCAAGGCGCUUGAGAGAACUCGGGUGAAGGAACUAGGCAAAAUGGUGCCGUAACUUCGGGAGAAGGCACGCUGACACGUAGGUGAAGUGAUUUACUCAUGGAGCUGAAGUCAGUCGAAGAUACCAGCUGGCUGCAACUGUUUAUUAAAAACACAGCACUGUGCAAACACGAAAGUGGACGUAUACGGUGUGACGCCUGCCCGGUGCCGGAAGGUUAAUUGAUGGGGUCAGCGCAAGCGAAGCUCCUGAUCGAAGCCCCGGUAAACGGCGGCCGUAACUAUAACGGUCCUAAGGUAGCGAAAUUCCUUGUCGGGUAAGUUCCGACCUGCACGAAUGGCGUAAUGAUGGCCAGGCUGUCUCCACCCGAGACUCAGUGAAAUUGAACUCGCUGUGAAGAUGCAGUGUACCCGCGGCAAGACGGAAAGACCCCGUGAACCUUUACUAUAGCUUGACACUGAACAUUGAGCCUUGAUGUGUAGGAUAGGUGGGAGGCUUUGAAGUGUGGACGCCAGUCUGCAUGGAGCCGGCCUUGAAAUACCACCCUUUAAUGUUUGAUGUUCUAACGUGGACCCGUGAUCCGGGUUGCGGACAGUGUCUGGUGGGUAGUUUGACUGGGGCGGUCUCCUCCUAAAGAGUAACGGAGGAGCACGAAGGUUGGCUAAUCCUGGUCGGACAUCAGGAGGUUAGUGCAAUGGCAUAAGCCAGCUUGACUGCGAGCGUGACGGCGCGAGCAGGUGCGAAAGCAGGUCAUAGUGAUCCGGUGGUUCUGAAUGGAAGGGCCAUCGCUCAACGGAUAAAAGGUACUCCGGGGAUAACAGGCUGAUACCGCCCAAGAGUUCAUAUCGACGGCGGUGUUUGGCACCUCGAUGUCGGCUCAUCACAUCCUGGGGCUGAAGUAGGUCCCAAGGGUAUGGCUGUUCGCCAUUUAAAGUGGUACGCGAGCUGGGUUUAGAACGUCGUGAGACAGUUCGGUCCCUAUCUGCCGUGGGCGCUGGAGAACUGAGGGGGGCUGCUCCUAGUACGAGAGGACCGGAGUGGACGCAUCACUGGUGUUCGGGUUGUCAUGCCAAUGGCACUGCCCGGUAGCUAAAUGCGGAAGAGAUAAGUGCUGAAAGCAUCUAAGCACGAAACUUGCCCCGAGAUGAGUUCUCCCUGAGACUUAGAGUCUCCUGAAGGAACGUUGAAGACGACGACGUUGAUAGGCCGGGUGUGUAAGCGCAGCGAUGCGUUGAGCUAACCGGUACUAAUGAACCGUGAGGCUUAACCUUACAACGCCGAAG
This 2272-nucleotide ribosomal RNA is filed under the name Salmonella enterica. RNAcentral describes it as "bacterial LSU rRNA". It matches the Rfam family "Bacterial large subunit ribosomal RNA", at positions 690 to 2925 of the family's 2925-position model. RNAcentral also lists the same sequence under 5 other names. The record is from RNAcentral. Lineage: Bacteria; Pseudomonadati; Pseudomonadota; Gammaproteobacteria; Enterobacterales; Enterobacteriaceae.